CGAGUCCGAGGAGCUAAGGCUCCAAAGUGAUGCGAGUCAGACUUCCCAGAAAAGCCCGAACCACGUUAAUUUCUAAUUACCCGUACCCGAAACCGACACAGGUGGGUAGGUAGAGUAUACUAAGGGGCGCGAGAUAACUCUCUCUCUAAGGAACUCGGCAAAAUGACUCCGUAACUUCGGGAGAAGGAGUGCCUUAUUUAUAAGGUUGCAAUAACAAGAUCCAAGCAACUGUUUAUCAAAAACACAGGUCUCCGCUAAGUCGUAAGACGAUGUAUGGGGGCUGACGCCUGCCCAGUGCCAGAAGGUUAAAGAAGUUGGUUAGUGUAUGCGAAGCUGAUGACUGAAGCCCUGGUGAACGGCGGCCGUAACAAUAACGGUCCUAAGGUAGCGAAAUUCCUUGUCGGGUAAGUUCCGACCCGCACGAAAGGCGUAAUGAUUUGGAUACUGUCUCGGAGAGAGGCUCGGUGAAAUAGACUUGUCUGUGAAGAUGCGGACUACCUGCACCAGGACAGAAAGACCCUAUGAAGCUUUACUGUAACUUGAAAUUGGAAUUGGACUUUGCUUGCGCAGUAUAGGUGGGAAGCGUUGAAGAUAUUCUUGCGGGAGUAUUGGAGCUAUCAGUGAGAUACCGCUCUUGUAAUGUUAGAUUUCUAACUUUGAACCAUAAUCUGGUCAAAGAACAGUUUCAGGUGGGCAGUUUGACUGGGGCGGUCGCCUCCCAAAUGGUAACGGAGGCGUACAAAGGUUUCCUCUGAACGGAUAGAAAUCGUAUCUAGAGUGUAAAGGCAUAAGGAAGCUUGACUGUGAGACCUACAAGUCGAGCAGGGACGAAAGUCGGUCUUAGUGAUCUGACGGUACUGAGUGGAAAGGCCGUCACUCAACGGAUAAAAGUUACUCUAGGGAUAACAGGCUGAUCUCCCCCAAGAGUUCACAUCGACGGGGAGGUUUGGCACCUCGAUGUCGGCUCAUCGCAUCCUGGGGCGGUAGUACGUCCCAAGGGUUGGGCUGUUCGCCCAUGAAAGCGGUACGCGAGCUGGGUUCAGAACGUCGUGAGACAGUUCGGUCCAUAUCCGGUGUAGGCGUUAGAAUAUUGAGAGGAGCCUUCUUUAGUACGAGAGGACCGAGAAGGACACACCGCUGGUGUACCAGUUAUCGUGCCAACGGUAAACGCUGGGUAGCUAUGUGUGGAGUGGAUAACCGCUGAAAGCAUCUAAGUGGGAAGCCCACCUCAAGAUGAG
This 1238-nucleotide ribosomal RNA is filed under the name metagenome. RNAcentral's name for it is "bacterial LSU rRNA". It matches the Rfam family "Bacterial large subunit ribosomal RNA", at positions 1564 to 2808 of the family's 2925-position model. The record is from RNAcentral.